This 471-nucleotide long non-coding RNA is filed under the name Homo sapiens (human). RNAcentral's name for it is "HSALNT0155801". Lineage: Eukaryota; Metazoa; Chordata; Mammalia; Primates; Hominidae. The record is from RNAcentral.
CUUCUAUAGUGUGCCACAUCAGAAGCACUUUGACCACUAUAUCCGCUUCUGUUUUGUGAAGGACUAAUCUGUGCUGGCGCAGGAUGAAGCCACGCUCCAGGCCAUGGACGAGAAGCUGCGGAAGUGGAAGGUGGAACUCUAGCCCUGAAGUCACGCCUUGGCCCUGACAUCCCCACAUGCCCGCAGAGAUCCUCUUUGAGUGUCUGUCUUUGUCCAGGUUUCAGACAUUUCUAGGUUGGGGAAGAUGCUAUUGGGAAACCUCUUCUCCGUGACACAGAAUGUUCUGGGUGGGAGCCGCCCUUCUUCAUCUUAGAGAACCAAGUGCCUCCUGUCUGAAAGGUGAGGGUGGCCUGACCUGGGCCUCUCCCUGCCCCUCCAUAGGUGGGUUUGUAGGGUCUUGUGUUGCUUCUGGUCUCUCCAGGCUUGGCUGAGACGGACGGUAGACUUCCACCAUGUACCGAUCACAUCCCA